Molecule: ribosomal RNA, 374 nt
Filed under: uncultured eukaryote
Lineage: Eukaryota
Description: partial 18S ribosomal RNA
Rfam family: Eukaryotic small subunit ribosomal RNA
Source: RNAcentral
CAAUAGCGUAUAUUUAAGUUGUUGCAGUUAAAAAGCUCGUAGUUGGAUUUCGGUUAAGAGCGACCGGUCCGCCGUUUGGUGUGCACUGGUUGGUUUUAACUUCCUGUAGAGGACGUGCUCUGGGUUUAACGACCUGGACUCGGAGUCUACGUGGUUACUUUGAAAAAAUUAGAGUGUUCAAAGCGGGCUUACGCUUGAAUAUUUCAGCAUGGAAUAACACUAUAGGACUCCUGUCCUAUUUCGUUGGUCUCGGGACGGGAGUAAUGAUUAAGAGGAACAGUUGGGGGCAUUCGUAUUUCAUUGUCAGAGGUGAAAUUCUUGGAUUUAUGAAAGACGAACUUCUGCGAAAGCAUUUGCCAAGGAUGUUUUCAUUA